Molecule: long non-coding RNA, 572 nt
Organism: Drosophila arizonae
Lineage: Eukaryota; Metazoa; Arthropoda; Insecta; Diptera; Drosophilidae
Source: RefSeq, a predicted model, not a curated record
CAGAUCGUAUUGUGUGGAGCCACUGCGCUCGAUGCUCUUCUGGGGAAAGCUGCAAGGAUGCGCAAGGGAGAGGGUAUUUCUUUCGGUUAGACCGAGCGUAGGAAGCACCGCUCAAGCAUUUCGAUGAGCCGGAUGAUCACGUCGUCGUCCAGCAACGUUCGCGUUUCAACUAAACCGAGCGUCUGCCCAGAGCUCGGCAAGCUGCUCGAACCAACGACUCAGAAACGUGUUUCGCCUGAAUGCCUCUGUGUGUGUGUAUUUGUGUGUGUGUGUGUGUGUGGGUAUCAGCUGCCUACGCAUCCAAAAAAUGCAUCUGUUUUGCCUGUGCUUAGAAAACAAUUGCUACCCUUGCGAAGCCAUAGACAAUACGAGCAGACAACAAAGGGAACAUCCUAAGCGUAAAAGGAUCCACGACACAAAGGCCCAGAAAAUGAGAGGGAGAUCUCAAAGGCCACAGAGUGAGGUGAGGGUGAAAGAUUUGAAAACGAAAUGCCAUAUGGCAUAUGAAUCGGAUCAGGAUAUCUUCGACUGGAGUAAAAGUUAAGGAAAUGAUUAGCUAACGAUGACAAACA